GACGAACGCUGGCGGCGUGCUUAACACAUGCGAGUCGAACGGAAAGGCCCUGCUUUUGUGGGGUGCUCCAGUGGCGAACGUGUGAGUUACACGUGCGUAACCUGCCCCUGACUUUAGGCUAACUUCUGGAAACUGGGGCUAAUACCUCAUAGGAUCUCCUGCUGCAUGGUGUGGGUUGGAAAGUUUCGUCGGUUGGGGAUGGCCUCGCGGCUUAUCAGCUUGUUGGUGGGGUAGUGGCAUACCAAGGCAUUGACGGGUAGCCGGCCUGAGAGGGUGACCGGCCACAUUGGGACUGAGAUACGGCCCAGACUCCUACGGGAGGCAGCAGUGGGGAAUAUUGCGCAAUGGGCGGAAGCCUGAUGCAGCAACGCCGCGUGCGGGAUGACGGCCUUCGGGUUGUAAACCGCUUUCAGCAGUGACGAAGCGCGAGUGACGGUAAUGGGAAAAGAAGCACCGGCUAACUACGUG
RNAcentral lists this ribosomal RNA (468 nucleotides) under uncultured bacterium. RNAcentral describes it as "partial 16S ribosomal RNA". It matches the Rfam family "Bacterial small subunit ribosomal RNA", at positions 28 to 507 of the family's 1533-position model. The record is from RNAcentral.